Molecule: long non-coding RNA, 2557 nt
Organism: Mesocricetus auratus (golden hamster)
Lineage: Eukaryota; Metazoa; Chordata; Mammalia; Rodentia; Cricetidae
Exons: 3
Source: RefSeq, a predicted model, not a curated record
AUGGCUUAAUACUUAGGAGUGCUUGCUGUUCUUCCAGAAGACCCACAUUCGUUUCCCAGCACACCUCCUGCAACUCCAGCUCCAGUUCUGGAGUCCUCUUCUGGUCUCAGCAGGUACACACGAACACACAUGGCACACACAUACAUAGACACACUCACACACAUUGAGAGAGGGAGAUACACAGAGAGACCGCCAGGAAUGAUGGUGGCAGCUUGUAAUUUCAGCAGCCAGGUGGGGACAGGAAGACCAGAAGUUCAAGGUCAUGUUUGCCUACACAGUGAGUACAAAGCCAUCCCUGGCUACAUUAGACUCUGUCACAAACAACCUAAAACAAAACAGCAGCAGCAUACGAACAAAAACGAUAAAAAAAAAUGUCCUUGGAGUUGCUGGAGCCAAACCCUGCUCUCUUCGAGGUGUGGGAGAGGGAAUGAGAUUGGGAAGCGUAUGGUGGCUUCUGUGCAAACGAUUGGUCUCUUUAUAGACCAAUUUACAAGUUGUGUGUUUGUCUUCUCGUCCAGAGACAUCAUGCUUACUCUGGCUUUGUGUCGGGAGUUCUAGAGUGUGUUCUGGGACUUUGUGUGCGUUGACACUUAGAUGUGUAGAGCCGUGUUCCCAGAACCUCAGGCAUUUAUUUUCCCUCACAAUUACAGAUAUUGGGGACUGUCAGAGGUAUCCACUCCCCACCUGCUACCACCUGUGACUAUUGUAGUACUCAGUUUACCCGGAAGGACCUGGAUGGGAGGUGACCUCCAGAUUCUUGCUCCUAAGAUUGCAACAUUGUGGACCUUGUUUCUGGUUAAGGUCAGCCACUGAAACAAGGAUCAGUGCAGGAUGUACACAAUAGACAACAAGGGAAUUAAGAGAAUAAACUGGGACUUUGUGGGGGCUGCAGAGAUGGCUCAGUAGGUAAGAACACUGGCUACUCUCCCAGAAGAUCUGGGUUUGAUUCCCAGCAUCCACAUGGCAGCUCAUAACCAUCUGUAUCUCCAUUUUCAGGGGAAUCCAGUGCCUCCUUCUGGCCUCCUUGGGCACUAAGCACAUGUAGUGCACAGACACAUAUAUACAGGGUGAAGAGGUUGGACAGGUUCCCCCCGGGAGAGCAGCCACAGAUGAGGAUGGCCAGUGCCUCAAUUGGUUUCAAAUGGAAGACCUUGCCCAGGACAAAGGCAGCGAGGGGCAUGAUACCGUACUGGGACAACAUGGCAAUGACCACCCCUUUGGGCUUCCGGAAGUGAGCCUUGAUCUUGCUGAACUCCAUGGUGCAGCCGAGUGAGAACAUGACAAAUAGCAGCAUGAACACCAGGAUGACACUCAGCGCCUUGUCUGUGGGGCGGUGGCCAAAGCCAGGCGGCAGAGAGAAAUUUAAGGGGGCUGAGAUAUUGUGUACCUCCAUCCUCUGGCACGGCGGGGACCACCCUGGUUCUUCGCUGCUGGCCUUCCUUGCCCAGUGCUUGCUGAAUGUUUUCUUUAGUUUCCUUUCAGGACAGAGUUUCUGGACAAAAUGUAGCUGUGGGCAAAUAAAAGAUUAUGCAAUCUGUAGAACCAUUGCUCGCUCUGGCUAUGGCUCCAAAGGGAGGAGAGCCACAGCCUUAUCUCCCUGGGUCCCCUACCUUGUUCAAGUUCCCCGACCUCUGUGCCUGCUGGGUGCCACUCACACCGCACAGGGUUGGUCCUUUCCUCUGACCUCUGUUGACAUGCUUCUCUAGCUCCUCUGAGACCCACGUAGGACCUGCAACCAACCAGGUUUACCUUUUCCUCUUCCUUCCAGCUCAGGCCCUGUUGCCUCAGGUUGUUCACCUGGAAAGGUGCCCUCCCCAUGCCCAGUGAGUCCCCAGGUGAAAGGGACUGUACUACCUUUGGUUCCCUCACAUAGGCAGAGCCUGAGGGCCGCUGGACAGUAUAGGGGCAUGCGGUGUUGCUGCCUCCAGGAGAGGAUGUUUCCUCCUGUGAGACCUUGUUUUGGGCCCAUACCUGGACCAUGUGCAACAUCAGCAGCAUCCAAGAGGCGGGUGUGACUGUCUUGCACCACACCCCUCCCUUCCUCUUAGGGAUGGGAGGGGGUGGGUCUUUCAUAAGCAGUUUUCUCUUGGCUGGUUGGAGCCCACAGGCUCUGAUAGAGGCCUCGUACAGUCCUAAUUGCUGAGAUUUGUGACAAGGCUUAUGGUCACUUUCUUUAGGUUUUCUUGAGAUGAAGGUCUUACCAUGUAGCCCACACUGACUUUGAAUCUGUGACAUUCCUGUCUCAUCCUUUCCCACGCAGGGGCUAUGGGUAUGAGCCACCACACCUAGUGUGAUUAGGCCACUGUGGGGCAGAGGUAAACAGACUUUUGGCUUGGUGUAACUACUUGAAAACGAGAGCUCCUUCACAUACUACUUUUGUAAGGCUCCCAAGUUGGGUUCCCAGUGUCUACGGCUUAUAACCACCUGUAACUCCAACUUUAAAGGAUCUGAUGUCCUCUUCUGGCCUCCACAGGCACCCAUACUAACAUGUACCCCUCCUCAUAUGCAUAUUUUAAGUAAACUAAAAAAAUAAAAAAGACAGUGAGAGACUCUUUGA